GAAUCUGAGGGACUUAUGGGCAAGGCAUGGGGUAUUUUGUGUAAAUAUGAGAAAUUAGGAGGGUUUGGUGUAAAAACACCAAACCCUAUACCUGCUUUCUUAGAAUUGGCGCCUCCUUCAUUCGGCCCUUCCCCAUUCACGCCAAUCUCCUUAAUUCGGCCUCCUCCAAUCUGCCCAGACUCCGGCGACCGGUCCACAGCCACCGCCGCUGCCUCUUCUUCCUUGGUAAAAUUGCUGCUGUUUGACGGAAGUGAACUCUUGAGGGCUGCGAAUCUGAUGAACAGUUCGUCAUCCGCCGCUUUGCUGUCGCCGGCGUGAGCUUCUUUUGGGGAAUUCUUGAGGGCCAGGAAACGGCGGUCGAGAUCUGGGUCGAUGGCGGCGGCGCCGGAGCCGCGCGCCAUGUGGGAAUCGACGCUGAGUUUGAGAAGCACGUCAUCCUGCGCUGCUCCACCUCAUCGUCGUCGCUCGCUUUCUUCCCUUUGGCAAUUUUGUGAUUGUUUUCCCACCACUCCAGUGUGUUGCCUGGACCGGCGGCGGUGUGUGGCGGUUGGACCUCAGGCCGCUGAGUAGGGCGGUGGGUGGCGGCGAGUCCGGCUCCGACCCCUCCCGAUGAUGAGGCGUCGAUGUCGGAGCGAUUGGUUGCCGGCUGCAAGUUUUGUAGUCGGGCGGCCUCCCUUUUCACUUUUGAGAACGCCGACUCGACUGAGGUAACGAGAACUUUCUUGAGAAUGUCCCGACAAAGUUUAUCAUAUCUGCCAUCUAAUCCAGGGAGGAACUGAAAUAAUCGGCAAUUUCCGAUUAAUUUUCGGUGCUUAUUAAUCCCUUCUUCAUUGCAGUUGAUUGGAUUUGGGUCUCUUCGACCCAUUCUGUGGAUUCUGUUUGGAUUUGGGUUAUUUGAAUCUGUUUGGUUUAUGGUUUCAAUCUCUCCUGGCAUUUUUUUUUUCAGGAAAUGAAGAACAGAGGCUGCCUUGAUUUGGUGAAUUGGCUAAGAAAGGUUUUGGUUUGGGAUUAUGAACGAUGAUGAUUUGUUUCUGAGUUCCUAGGAUUGAACUUGCUCUGAUACCAUGUUAAAACAUGGUAUUAUCAUAAUGCAUAGAGAAAGAUAAAGAGAAGCUAAAGAUUGUUAUUGUAUUUCUUGAUAUUGCUUGCUAUUUCUUUAGAUUACAAUGCAUCCUUUUAUAGUGUAAGGAUGAAUCAAAUGUCAAACUAAAAUCCCUUAAAAUCAAAAGCUAAGAUUUUGUCUUUGAAUUAUUAUUCAUGAUCUUUGAAUAAUAAUCUUUGACUUAUUCUUUUUCUUAUUUUCA
Molecule: long non-coding RNA, 1304 nt
Filed under: Salvia miltiorrhiza (redroot sage)
Lineage: Eukaryota; Viridiplantae; Streptophyta; Magnoliopsida; Lamiales; Lamiaceae
Description: long non-coding RNA (SMIL_LNC010342)
Source: RNAcentral